UCUCAUGCUGUGACUUUGCAAAGGGAAGCCCUUUCUGUUGUCUAAAAGAAAAGAAAGUGCUUCUCUUUGGAGUGUUACGGUUUGAGA
RNAcentral lists this microRNA precursor (87 nucleotides) under Nomascus leucogenys (northern white-cheeked gibbon). Its description in RNAcentral is "miRNA (ENSNLEG00000034482.1)". It matches the Rfam family "mir-515 microRNA precursor family". Lineage: Eukaryota; Metazoa; Chordata; Mammalia; Primates; Hylobatidae. The record is from Rfam by way of RNAcentral.